RNAcentral lists this long non-coding RNA (2979 nucleotides) under Canis lupus familiaris (dog). RNAcentral describes it as "lncRNA (ENSCAFG00030022832.1)". Lineage: Eukaryota; Metazoa; Chordata; Mammalia; Carnivora; Canidae. The record is from RNAcentral.
AUGGUGCUCCGAGCCUCCGCCUCCUGGGGUGGCAGGUGGCAAUGCCUGGCGCGGCCUCCUGAGGACCCAGGGAGCUCAGUAGGCCCAGGGAAGGUCGCCCCGGCUGCAGAGAGCUGCACGGCUCCCUGCCUGUGGGGACCGCCCAGCCCGGCCGCACCCGGAGAUGCCCCCAAGCCGCCCGGUUUCCCGCUCCUGGAGCGCAGUGUCGGCGGCGAGUUCCCCGGAAGCCCAAGCGAUUGCAUCUGGGGACCCGAGAGGGACGGUGGCGGCCCCAGGACCCCUCCCGACCGUCUCACGCGUCCUGCCUUCUGCCCCCCUGAAGAACAGCCAGGUGAACACCCGCUUUGCUCCUUUUACAGGUUAGGUUUGUUGUUUCUGCGGCGCUGGUCUGAGGUGUCGCGGCUGCCAGUUGCACCUGGUUUGGGCAACAGUGUCCUGGCGGGAGAACGAGAGACACGAGGCUCGGCAGCUGCAGAAAUGGUGUCAAUGUCACCUGCACCCCGUCCCGUCUGUGGCGGCCCGGCCACCGAGCUCGCUGAGGCGGGGCAGGCCCCUGCCCUCUGGCCUGUCCGCCUGUCCGCGGAUGCUCAGAUGUUUAACUUGGUGCUAAACGGGGGGCGAGACGGGGGAUGACUCGCUGCUGCCGCAGUCUGAUGUCGCGGCCCCUGAGACUCGCCUCCUCCGUUGGACGCUGGAGACGUGAGCUGUGCCUACUUCCCAGGGGACGCGGGACGCUCGCUCUAAAGCGCUCGGAACAGCGGCGGCCACAGCCCUCAACGGGCGCCGCUGCUAUGAUCAUAAUCACAGGUCAGGGUGGGGCGGCUGCGUCCGUGGAUGCUCCCCCACGCUGGGCCUCGUGGCUGGGGGGCUGUGCCAGGAGGGGGGCCGCGGGGCUGCUGCUGGCGCUGGGUGACCCAGGACGUGCUGGAACCGACGGCAACCCGGGCUCGAGCGGGGGCGAGGUGGGAAGCCCGGCUCCUCUCCCGCCCGGCGGCCUCGGGGGCCACGCGGUGCGUCAUCCUUGGUAUUUGUAGUGCCUGGAGCAGGGGGAGGCUCUCUGCCGCAGGGGUCGGGGCAAGGCCGGCCAGGGACAGCCGGGCACCCGGGCACACCUGCAGCAGGUGCAGGACACGAGGCCACCGGGCCCGCCGGCUGCUGGGGAGAAGGACGGCCAGAGCCUGCCCCCACUGCCCUGGCCGACCCGCAGGUCCAUCAGCCCGACGGCUCGACCUCGCGACCUCUGGGGCCGGCGGGCCUCCCUGUUCCACGGACGAGGGCGACGAGGGCGUUCUGGAGCUCAGGGCAGGGCAAGGGGCCUUCGGGCCGAGCCCCCACCCCGAGCCCCGGCUCCCCGCACGGCCCCCACGGCAGCACCUGCCUCUUCUUCGGUGGAAGCGCGCCCGGCCCGGGGCCAGGCUGGCAGGGCCUGAAGGACGGGCCCAACCCUACUAAUCCGGCCUGCGCCUUCCUGCCCCCGCGCCCUGGGCAGGCCUGUGACCCAGAGCGCACCCUGUCCCAGGGCCAGCCCAGCAGGCCCAGCCCCGGCGACAAUAGCCGGAAGGGCCUCUCGGAGCAAGUACUUCCUGAAGUGCCCGGAGCGGCCGCGUCCCCGCAGCUCAGGAACAAUCACAGCCCGGCCGCUUCCUCCCCUGCAGGGCGUCCUGCACUCGGGGAAGCCCUGGGCCCUGGGGGGGGGCACCCCGGAGCAGGGCGCUUGGGUCCCCGACACACCUUGACAGAUUCACACUUCCCCCCAGACCCUCAGUCUUCUUUGUCCUUCCCGUAAACCAGCUGCCUCAUCCUUGACCUUGGUUCUUGUGUCAUCUUUCUUGGGGAUUUUAAAAAAAAAUUUAUUUGUUCCUGAGAGACUCACAGAGAGAGGCAGAGACCCAGGUAGAGGGAGAAGCAGGCUCCACGCAGGGAGCCCAACGCGGGACUCGAUCCCAGGACCCCGGGGUCAUGCCCUGAGCCCAGGGCAGAUGCUCAAUGGCUGAGCUGCCCGGGCGCCCCUUUCUUUGGGAUCUUUAAAAGAGCAAGGAGAGAAGGAGGGGAAACGCCCAAGGGGAAGGUAAAUCCUGGGAUCCCGCCGUGCACCCAGCUGUCCUUCAGCAGCAGCGGGUGAGGCCUGGGCGUCCAGCACUCCCCCCGACCGACGCACUUACCCGCCCAUUUCAUGAUCCGCUGCAGCUGCUGCGGCGUCCCCCGCGUUGUGGAGGCGGCGUGGGCCCGGCCCCACGCGGGGGUGCACGGGGAGCCGGCAGUUGGCAUCCCCGGUUUACUGGGUGAGCGCGGAGCAGCCGAGGGCGACGGGAGGCGAGCGCAGCAGGUGUGGGGGGGACCUUGAACGCAGUCCUGGGGGAUGCAGGGCCAGAGCCCGAGGACUGGGGCGGGAGCACGAUGGCACCGGGUGGUGGCCCUGGGUAACUCCAGCCGCCCGUCCCCCUGCGUCCUCCGCCCGAGCGCUCCACCUGUGGGACUCCGGGUCCCUGUCUGCGGAGUGCAGGGGAGGAGGGCGGCGCACCUACUGCAUAGGGGGCGACGCCGAUGAACGCGGGCCGGCACACACCCCGGCACCCGCGGCGCAGCGAGCCGGGACCCGGUGGGGACAGGCAGGGACAGGCUGCACGCCCGUCGUGAGCUCCGGCCCGGCCGGGCGCUGCCCAUCCAAGCAGGCCCGGCAAGGCGCAGCUCGGGCCUGCGGGGACCCGCAGAUGCCCUGCUGCUAGGAUCCCGCACCCGGCGCCCGAGAGACCCGGAUUCCCAUGUCACGUCGCCUGCACACGGUGGGCCCUUCUGGGGCCUCAGUGCUCCCGUCUGUGAAACGGGUGUGGCGGUGGUGCAUUCCUCCUGGGGUCGCCGUGGGGGCUACCGCGUGCCACGUGCACAGCCCAGAAAGUACACGGCUACGCGAAUGACAGCCUCGGACUCAGCUGGCAUCGAAUGAAAGAGAAGCAGUACCGGGCGGGGGGGGGGGGGGGG